ACGUAGCCUCCUCUUCAUUUCGGCAAACACUCUUAAAUACGCGGGCACAUAGCACAUGGUCCUCCAUGUGUUCUCUGUCCUGGGCUCUGAAAAUAUUACGGGUGGGUCUGGACUUGAGAGUCCCCUCUCGUUUCACCGCACUCACAGCCUGGCCUGCUAUUCGGACUUCGUCAUUGCCUCCCUACCACCGGGAUGUUUUCCAGGACCCUUUCUUAGGGGGUGGCAGUGGGAGCAGGAGGCGGGGCACAGUCUUCAGAAUCCAGAUCAUUUGUUUCCUGUCACGUACACCCUGUCCCCAAGAAAGUACAGAUGGAAAAACCAAAGCCUCUUCUCUAGACCUGUGCAGAAGGCUGCUGGAGCCACAGCAGACGCAUGGGGUGGUUUCCAUCUAAAUCGAAAUGAUUUAAGCAUUAAAGGAAAUUAAAAUAUAACUUUCUUGGUCACGUCGCCACAUCUCAAGUGAGCCACAGUCACACAGGGAUGGUGGCUACCAAAUUAGAGAUAAAGCAUAUUUCUAUCAUCACAGAAAGUUCUCUUGGAUGGUGUUGGGUCAUAAAUCCGGUUUAAACCAUCUGGGGGUGCUGUGGAUAUGUUCUCCCUCAAUUCUUUCCCCACAAGUAUCACCAGAGAUGAGUUAGAUGUCCUGUUCUCCCGCUGGAGCACACACAAUGUUUGCUUUGCCCAAACAAGCACAUCACAGAAGAAAAUGCAGCUAGUGAAAAAUGCCAGCACAUCUGGGAACUCCAGAUACUUUACCACCAAAAUUAAAAAAUGGAAAAAAAAAAAAAAAACCAAAACACCCCGAUGAUCGCUUUGGGAACACAGAUAAGAGCUAAUUAUAAAAAAGCAGGUUAGAGUUCCCUGAUGGCCUAGAGGGUUAAGGAUCAGGCAUGGUCACUGCUGCGGCUUGGCUUCCAUCCCUGGCCUGGGAACUUCUGUGUGCCGUGAGUGUGGCCAAAAAAAAUUAAUAAAUGCAAAGACUCACGAGCCUCUGCUCGGGAUAGAUUUUUUCAAGUGGGUCUUCUAAAUCUAUUUUGGGGUCAAACAGGGUGUCCCACUGUGAUUCAAGGAGGGGAGUGAUGCUGCGAUUCUUUCGCUAAUCCUCUUUCUGACAUGGCACCAGGUAAGUUCAUGAAAUAUUUCUGUUUAAGCCCACAGUCCCAUACAGGACGGGGUGCUAGGAAAAAACAUCUGGUCACACGUCCUACGCAGCUAAAGGGAAGCUACGCAGCACUAAAGGGCCUUUGUUCCCCUGAGGGAGUUUCCUUUGCCAGAAUGCAGCGUUAAAUACUGUUGGCUGGAACUGGUUUGGUCCUACUCAGCUUUCAUAGAAAUUAUUUCCUAUCAUUUCCAUUCCUGAAAAAGUCUUCAAAUCUAUGACAUUAUAAAACCUUAGAACUGUAAGUGCUUCUAGACAUUAUAAAUUGAGGUCCAGAGAGUGGAUGGCGUUUGUGCAAACUGAAGAGAGUCAGAAAAAGAAAUCAGGUCCUUUCAGCCUGGGUUCAGUGCACCUCUCCAUGCCAUUUAGGGGAGGAAGAGCUGGCAAACAAAGCCCAGAGAGGCAAGUCAAGACAGUAUAUGCGGUCAUGUAAAGAAAGAGUGUUUCAAGAAGAGGCGCUGGUCAAUUGCAUCAGAUACAACGGGAGCAAAUCAAGGAAGGUGAGAGAUGGCAACUGUCCAUCGAAUUCAGCCACAUGGACAUUGUCCUUGGGUGCCCCUUGCCAAAGGAACUUUCAGGAGAGUGGCAGAGGCAACAUUCAGCUUACAGUGGCUGAAGAGUGAAGGGGAGUCCCAUUUAGAGAUGACAGAUGGAGCUCUUUUGUUUAUCUUCAAGCCCUAGUGAAAUUCCACUAAAACAAUUUAAGGCAAAAAAGAAUAAAUCAACACGGCAAAGAGAACAUGAGACAGCCUCAUGGCAGAGAGCUUCCAAUGGUGAUGAUGACUCCCUGCAGAGGGCAUAAGGCACAUGAAAGGCCAGUGACAAAGCCAGGCCAGUGCAAACGCCUCCUGGAGUCUACAAACAAGGGGAUUUGGAGAUGCCAGGGGGCAAGAGAGAAAAGUGACACUGACCAAGUGGAGAGGACGAUGGUCUGAAAGCCGGCACGGAGAGAAGUCGGACCGCAGCACUGCAAGACACUGGCCUCUGUUUCUGGGGAGGAAAACCCUCCUUACAGAAAAUGAAAGGGUGGCGUUCCCGAAGUGGCGCAGUGGGUUAAGAAUCCAACUGCAGUGGCUUGGGUCGCUGCAAAGGUUCGGGUUCCAUCCACAGCCUGGGGCAGGGGGUUAAAGGAUCUGGUGUGGCUGCAGCUGUGGCGUAGGUUGCAGCGGCACCUUGGAUUCAAUCCCUGACCUGGGAACUUCUGCAUGUCGUGGAUGCAGCCGUAAAAAUAAAAAGAAACAGUUUGAGAGCUUCUGAUUUCAGGGAUAUGUCAAGCUAGGUUAAUUGGGCCGAUUCAUGUUUGAAAAACAACCAGGGAACUUAGAUAAAAAAUAUAUUUAAAAAAACGUUGGAGUUCCUGUUAUAGCACAGUGGAAACGAAUCUGACUAGUAUCCAUGUGAAUGUGGGUUUGAUCCCUGGCCUCGAUCAGUGGGUCGGGGAGCCGUGAGCUGUGGUGUGGGUUGCAGACGUGGAUUGGAUCUGGCGUUGCUGUGGCUGUGAUGUAGGCUGGCAGCUGUAGCUCUGAUUCAACCCCUGGCCUGGGAAUCUCCAUAUGCCACAGGUGUGGCCCUAAAAUCAAAAGAAAACAAAACAAAACAAAAAACAAAAAAAGGAAAGAAAGAAAGAAAAAUCUCUUUUUUUCCUCCUAUGGCCACAGUUUUUGUUUGUUUUGUUUUGUUUUGUUUUUGUUUUUUGUUUUUUAACACUGCAGCUUAGGCAACACCCAAUCCUUAAGCCACUGAGUGAGGCCAGGGAUCGAACAUGCAUCCUCACCCUAAUCCGCUGAGCCACAACAGGAACUCCUAUGUAAAAUCUAAUGAAACAUGAAAACUCAGCACGAUGAAAGGAAUGAAAGCUUUGCUCUGAGGGUAUUUACUGAUUCUGGCAAACUUGAACUUAGGGUUUGACAGCUUCGUGGAGAAAGGGGGACAGAACCCAAAGACCAAGAGUGGACCAUGGUGAGAAGUCUCAUAGGCAACGUUCUUCACAAUAAACCAAGACCCCGGAGGACUGUAACUUCGAUGUAAGGAUAAAACAGAAUUAAACCUGCCCCUUUCCUAGGUGACUGCAAGGAAAGUUACCUUGGCAUUGAGCAGAGCAGGGGGAAAGCACUUGAGGAGCUGUGAUCACGAGGUGGCCCUGCUGUGGAUCUGAAAGCCAAAUUUGCAACAGCUGUUUAGUUCAUAAGACUCCAAAUCUGAAUUUAGUUUAAGCAUUUCUUUCUGGUACAGGGUAUCGAAAAAAUUAGGAGAUUUUAAAAGCAAAUAUAAUGUCUAGAAAUUUAAAAAUACAUUAAUAAAUUAGAGCUAAAGGAAGAGUUAGUACAUAUCCAGAAUGGAGACCAGGAAGACGGAAAGGAUGGAAAAUAUGGAAAUGAGGCCAAGUGGCAUUAAUAAUAGAGGGAGAAGGUCUAACAUGUUUACUUGGCAUUCAAGAAGGAGAGGAGAGUGAGAGGGAAUUGGGCAACUGGCAAUAUUUGAUGAGGAAUUUUCCAGAAAUAUUAAAAGAUAAUAACCUAUAGAUUCAAGAAGGCUGGUGACGUCCAAGAAGAAGAGAUGAAAAUAAAUCUAACUUUUACACAUUAUGGGGAAACCGAAGUACUCAGAAACAUAACAGAAAAAAACCUCAAAGCAAAAGCAAAGAAGAAACAAAGAGGUUAUUUCAAAGAGUGCCAGUUAUAUUGAUAGCUGAUUUCUUAAUAGCAGAUUUAAAACACGAGGCAGUGAAAUGUCAUUCUUAAUGUGUUUAGAGUAAACGACCGCCCAUUCAACAAAAUUAUAUCUUAUGAAUCAGGCUAAAAAGACAAAACGAAGGGAAUAUAUCACAGGUGAUACUCAAGAAAGAAAAUUCUAAAGGACGUACUUUGGGCAGAAGGAUAGAAAACUGAGAAUGAAAAUCUGACUGGUUAGGAGGCAUGAAGAAUAAGGACGUAUUAAAUUUGUGGGUAAAACUAAAGGACUACCUACUAAGGGGAAUGAUAGUAAUAUCUUCCGAGGUUUGAGAUAAAAGUACAAAUGAAAACAGUGAUAUAUACAUACGUCUGGGAAGUGGGUAAAGGUAUUGAUUAAUUCUGGACUUCAUAAAUAAGCCACAAAUCUAGGUUACAGUGGGAGAUGAUAACUUUCAAACUGGGACAGGGAAUAAAAUGGAAUGACUAAAAAAGUGUUCAAUGAACCCAGGGCUGUUAACUGCUGCACUGUUUUGGGCAUUCACUGACGUAGGUGAACUAGAUGCUUCAGUUAAAAGACCAUGAAUAUGAGUCUGAAUGAAAAAAACCCAACUGAAUGCUACGGAUGAGACUCAUUUACAAAAGAAAGAUACAGAAAGGCUGAAAUUUUAGAGGGAUAGAAAAAGACAUACAUGAAGUCAGUAACUAAAAGAAGCUGGUUUGGCAAUACAGCCAAUACCAGGCAAAAGAAGCAAAAAGCGAGACUGGGUA
Molecule: long non-coding RNA, 4599 nt
Filed under: Sus scrofa (pig)
Lineage: Eukaryota; Metazoa; Chordata; Mammalia; Artiodactyla; Suidae
Description: lncRNA (ENSSSCG00050040770.1)
Source: RNAcentral